Piliocolobus tephrosceles (Ugandan red Colobus) is the source of this 360-nucleotide long non-coding RNA. RefSeq lists it as uncharacterized. The record is from RefSeq and is a predicted model, not a curated record. NCBI's taxonomy places the organism in Eukaryota, Metazoa, Chordata, Mammalia, Primates, Cercopithecidae. The transcript is spliced from 2 exons.
GGGAGGUGUCACCCCAAGGGCAGUCACCGUAGAAGAGGCCUGAGUCAGCCCCUCUGACCAAACACCCUUGCUGGAGGGCUGGGGCCCAAGAGCCAGCACCGUGGAACGAGGAAUAGGAAGAUGCCUGCUGAGUGGGAGAAGAGAUGGACACCACGUGAUCCUUCCGCCUCACUCUCCACGUUUCUCUGGUAAAAGUGCCCCGGUGAACCUGUGAGUACUGAGCACCUCAGGUUAGAAUCCUGGAUGUCACCUGAGACUCUGCAUGACCUUGGGCAAAUGACUGACCUUCUUUGAGCCUCAGGUUGCUCAUCUGUAAAAUGGGGAUGGAGUUGUUGAGAGCAUUACAUGAGAUCCACUCCA